ACGCACGCUGGCGGCAUGCCUAACACAUGCCAGUCGCACGAGACCUUCGGGUCUAGUGGCGCACGGGUGCGUAACGCGUGGGAACCUGCCUUUAGGUUCGGAAUAACUCAGAGAAAUUUGAGCUAAUACCGGAUGAUGUCUUCGGACCAAAGAUUUAUCGCCUUUAGAUGGGCCCGCGUUGGAUUAGCUAGUUGGUGGGGUAAAGGCCUACCAAGGCGACGAUCCAUAGCUGGUCUGAGAGGAUGAUCAGCCACACUGGGACUGAGACACGGCCCAGACUCCUACGGGAAGCAGCAGUGGGGAAUAUUGGACAAUGGGCGAAAGCCUGAUCCAGCAAUGCCGCGUGAGUGAUGAAGGCCUUAGGGUUGUAAAGCUCUUUUACCCGAGAUGAUAAUGACAGUAUCGGGAGAAUAAGCUCCGGCUAACUCCGUG
Molecule: ribosomal RNA, 432 nt
Filed under: uncultured bacterium
Lineage: Bacteria
Description: partial 16S ribosomal RNA
Rfam family: Bacterial small subunit ribosomal RNA
Source: RNAcentral